UACUCGAGUGGCGAACGGGUGAGUAACACGUGGGUGAUCUGCCCUGCACUUCGGGAUAAGCUUGGGAAACUGGGUCUAAUACCGGAUAGGAGCCAUCUUUAGUGUGGUGGUUUGAAAGUUUUUUCGGUGUAGGAUGAGCUCGCGGCCUAUCAGCUUGUUGGUGGGGUAAUGGCCUACCAAGGCGGCGACGGGUAGCCGGCCUGAGAGGGUGUACGGCCACAUUGGGACUGAGAUACGGCCCAG
This 243-nucleotide ribosomal RNA is filed under the name uncultured Actinomycetales bacterium. RNAcentral describes it as "partial 16S ribosomal RNA". It matches the Rfam family "Bacterial small subunit ribosomal RNA", at positions 88 to 334 of the family's 1533-position model. Lineage: Bacteria; Bacillati; Actinomycetota; Actinomycetes; Actinomycetales. The record is from RNAcentral.